This 191-nucleotide unclassified non-coding RNA is filed under the name Microsphaeropsis arundinis. Its description in RNAcentral is "ITS1". Lineage: Eukaryota; Fungi; Ascomycota; Dothideomycetes; Pleosporales; Didymellaceae. The record is from RNAcentral.
UCCGUAGGUGAACCUGCGGAAGGAUCAUUACCAAUUCAACGGUGUGGUCGCGGCCUCCGGGGGCUCCCCCCGGGCGGUAGAGGUAACACUCUUACGCGCCACAUGUCUGAAUCCUUUUUUUACGAGCACCUUUCGUUCUCCUUCGGUGGGGCAACCUGCCGUUGGAACUUAUCAAAACCUUUUUUGCAUCU